UAUCUAUCUGACAGACGCAGUACUCUAUCAGAUCUCCUUUGAUCUAAUCAAAUCCGAUUUUAUGGGUUCACUAGAUUGUGUCGAUUUUUCUACCUAUCGAACUUUAUAAGUUUCACAUUAAAAGUAUAAAUACCUUCACCAAGAUACUCCUUUUCUAAAAGGAAUGCUAAACAACUUUUAUUCUUUAGCAUGGUAGAAAUUAUAUCCCCUAAAUUUUUUGGGAUAUCCUACAAAAUAAUACAUAUAGGACC
This 251-nucleotide long non-coding RNA is filed under the name Elaeis guineensis (African oil palm). RNAcentral describes it as "long non-coding RNA (EGUI_LNC050540)". The record is from RNAcentral. Lineage: Eukaryota; Viridiplantae; Streptophyta; Magnoliopsida; Arecales; Arecaceae.